AGAGAGAGAGAGAGAGAGAGUAUUGGGCGGCUUUUCUUUACAACUUUCCUCUUUGCUUUUCAAAAGUAAACCCACCCCAGCAUCUUCCUUCUCUUUCCCCUUCUUCUCCAUUUAUCCAUUUAUAUACAUACUCACUCUCUCUCAUCUCUCUCUCUCUCUCUCUAGAAACGCAUUCAACCUGCCCAGAAUCUGAGACCAAAGUCGGCCAUUGUUUGUCUAUUCUGCUCUUCAUAUUCUUUACCACAUGAUUUAUAGUUAAAUUGGUAUCAUGACGAGAGUAGGACGAGAUUUUGCGAAUUCAAUGAAAAGGGAGGCAGUUCCUCCGGUCUCAGCGGACGUGAUAUUUGCUACUAGUCGGUUUCCAAAUUAUAAGAUUGGUGCUAACAACCAGAUUGUGGAGGUGAAAGAGGAUCUGAAAGUACUAACCAUGAAGGAGGUUGUUGCUAGGGAGACUGCCCAGCUGCUGGAACAGCAGAAGCGCCUUUCGGUUCGCGACCUUGCCAGUAAAUUUGAGAAGGGGUUGGCUGCUGCCGCUAAGUUGUCUGAUGAGGCUAGACUCAGGGAGGCAGCUUCAUGGGAGAAACACGUACUUCUAAAGAAGCUUAGAGAUGCGCUUGAAGCCUUAAGAGGCCGUGUGGCGGGCAAAAAUAAGGAUGACGUUGAAGAAGCUGUUGCUAUGGUUGAAGCAUUAGCAGUUCAGUUGACUCAGCGCGAAGGAGAACUAAUUCAAGAGAAGGAAGAAGUGAAAAAGCUUGCUGAUUUUCUUAAGCAGGCUUCAGAAGAUGCUAAGAAACUUGUCGAUGAAGAAAGAGCUUUUGCUCGGGCUGAAAUUGAGAAUGCCAGAGCAGCAGUUCAGAGAGUGGAAGAGGCUCUUCAGGAACAAGAACAAAUGUCCCGUGCUUCAGGGAAGCAGGAUAUGGAAGAAUUAAUGAAGGAGGUUCAAGAGGCUAGACGAAUCAAAAUGUUGCAUCAGCCUAGCAAGGUUAUGGACAUGGAGCAUGAGCUUCGAGCUUUGAGAAAUCACCUUGCUGAGAAAUCUAAGCAUUCUCUUCUGCUUCAGAAAGAGCUGGCAAUGAGCAAAAGGGGUGCAGACAACGAGGCUGACUCUUAUGAAUUAGAAGGUCCUGAAUCCUUGGGUUCAUAUUUGAGGAUCCAACCUUGCUCUGGUAGUGAUCCAGAGCUUUUAGAAUGUUUGAUCCAGUGGUAUCGUUUGACAACAGAAGGUGGCAAAAAGGAGCUUAUUUCAGGAGCCACAAAAUCAGUGUAUGCUCCAGAGCCCUUUGAUGUUGGUCGAAUCUUGCAAGCUGAAAUUUUUUCGUACGGACAGAAAAUCACAUUGACUACUACUGGUCCCAUAGAUCCUGCUGCAGGAUUGGGAAACUAUGUGGAAUCAUUGGUGCGGAGGCAUGACACCGAAUUCAAUGUAGUCAUUGCCCAGAUGAAUGGGGAAGAUUAUCCAUCACAGUCUAUCCACGUACUUCAUAUUGGUAAAAUGAGGAUGAAACUUUGCAAAGGCAAGUCGACAGUGGCUAAAGAAUACUAUUCCAUCACAAUGCAGUUAUGUGGCAUUAGAGGUGGUGGGAAUGCUGCUGCUCAGGCAUUGUUUUGGCAAGCAAAAGCAGGGCUUUCCUUUGUGUUGGCAUUUGAAUCAGCAAGGGAAAGGAAUGCAGCCAUUAUGCUUGCCAGGAGGUUUGCGUUUGACUGUAACAUAAUGCUUGGUGGGCCUGAUGACAGAGCUCCUCUAGCGAGCUGACGAAUCCACGGUCACUUCUUUAACGUAAUGUAUCUAUGUUGAUUUCAUAGUGUAUCACCUAAUUACAGAAUGUGUUUGCAGUGGUUUGCAGAUCUGGACAAGUCUAGACCAUUGUUUUCUUUGUUUUUUUGGCGCUUGAUGGGAAAUGGAGAUGCUCAACAUGUAUUUGAUGCUGCACCUUUGCUUAGUUUUUUAAGCGUCUUACCGAUUUUACCUGUGUUUCAUGUUGUUUUCUCGAUUUGCCCCACCCCAGUAAUUUUAAUUCCCUAUUCUACUCCCAGUGUACAUUUGCCCUUGUUCAUUAUGUAUUUGGUAUAGAUGACACCAAGUCUAUGUUGUACUGUAGAAUUUUGUCGAUGGCCGAGUUCGUGAAGGCUCUAUUCAGUAAUCAACAACUUUUUGUGGGAA
Molecule: RNA transcript, 2161 nt
Organism: Rhododendron vialii
Lineage: Eukaryota; Viridiplantae; Streptophyta; Magnoliopsida; Ericales; Ericaceae
Gene name: stomatal closure-related actin-binding protein 1
Exons: 14
Source: RefSeq, a predicted model, not a curated record